Molecule: long non-coding RNA, 210 nt
Filed under: Numida meleagris (helmeted guineafowl)
Lineage: Eukaryota; Metazoa; Chordata; Aves; Galliformes; Numididae
Description: lncRNA (ENSNMEG00000020903.1)
Source: RNAcentral
AUACACUGUUCUGAACCACAUUUGAGGGUGUUCCCAACUAAGCUUGGUUAGAAUUUAAACUAAUAGGUGGGUGUUCCAUGAGAAGACAGACGACAAUUGGAACUGUAUCAGGCGCAUGUAGCAAACAAGGAUGAAGCUAUAAGGACUCAUUGCCAAGAAAUGUUCCUGGAUACACACCUUCACCUCCUCUCGCAGAGAACUAUUGAUGGG